This 201-nucleotide ribosomal RNA is filed under the name uncultured bacterium. Its description in RNAcentral is "partial 16S ribosomal RNA". It matches the Rfam family "Bacterial small subunit ribosomal RNA", at positions 1301 to 1500 of the family's 1533-position model. The record is from RNAcentral.
CAGUCUGCAACUCGACUGCAUGAAGCCGGAAUCGCUAGUAAUCGCGGAUCAGAAUGCCGCGGUGAAUACGUUCCCGGGUCUUGUACACACCGCCCGUCACACCAUGGGAGUCGGAAAUGCCCGAAGCCGGUGGCCUAACCGAUAAGGGAGGAGCCGUCGAAGGCAGGUCUGAUGACUGGGGUGAAGUCGUAACAAGGUACC